RNAcentral lists this ribosomal RNA (207 nucleotides) under uncultured bacterium. RNAcentral's name for it is "partial 16S ribosomal RNA". It matches the Rfam family "Bacterial small subunit ribosomal RNA", at positions 568 to 774 of the family's 1533-position model. The record is from RNAcentral.
AGCGCAGGCGGACCGGCAAGUUGGAAGUGAAAUCCAUGGGCUCAACCCGUGAAUUGCUUUCAAAACUGCUGGCCUUGAGUAGUGCAGAGGUAGGUGGAAUUCCCGGUGUAGCGGUGGAAUGCGUAGAUAUCGGGAGGAACACCAGUGGCGAAGGCGACCUACUGGGCACCAACUGACGCUGAGGCUCGAAAGCAUGGGUAGCAAACA